This 413-nucleotide ribosomal RNA is filed under the name uncultured bacterium. Its description in RNAcentral is "bacterial SSU rRNA". It matches the Rfam family "Bacterial small subunit ribosomal RNA", at positions 917 to 1333 of the family's 1533-position model. The record is from RNAcentral.
GGGCCCGCACAAGCGGUGGAGCAUGUGGUUUAAUUCGAUGAUACGCGAGGAACCUUACCAGGGCUUAAAUGUUAGGUGACAGAUCUAGAAAUAGAUUUUUCUUCGGACACUUAACAAGGUGCUGCAUGGUUGUCGUCAGCUCGUGCCGUGAGGUGUCAGGUUAAGUCCUAUAACGAGCGCAACCCCUGUUGUUAGUUGCCAGCGAGUAAUGUCGGGAACUCUAGCAAGACUGCCAGUGCAAACUGUGAGGAAGGUGGGGAUGACGUCAAAUCAUCACGGCCCUUACGUCCUGGGCUACACACGUGCUACAAUGGUAGGUACAGAGAGCAGCCAAUGCGCGAGCAUGAGCAAAUCCACAAACACUAUCUCAGUUCGGAUCGGAGUCUGCAACUCGACUGCGUGAAGUUGGAAUC